UACGUAGGUGGCAAGCGUUAUCCGGAAUUAUUGGGCGUAAAGCGCGCGUAGGCGGUUUUUUAAGUCUGAUGUGAAAGCCCACGGCUCAACCGUGGAGGGUCAUUGGAGACUGGAAAACUUGAGUGCAGAAGAGGAAAGUGGAAUUCCAUGUGUAGCGGUGAAAUGCGCAGAGAUAUGGAGGAACACCAGUGGCGAAGGCGACUUUCUGGUCUGUAACUGACGCUGAUGUGCGAAAGCGUGGGGAUCAAA
This 249-nucleotide ribosomal RNA is filed under the name uncultured Staphylococcus sp. Its description in RNAcentral is "partial 16S ribosomal RNA". It matches the Rfam family "Bacterial small subunit ribosomal RNA", at positions 524 to 772 of the family's 1533-position model. The record is from RNAcentral. Lineage: Bacteria; Bacillati; Bacillota; Bacilli; Caryophanales; Staphylococcaceae.